RNAcentral lists this ribosomal RNA (253 nucleotides) under uncultured bacterium. RNAcentral describes it as "partial 16S ribosomal RNA". It matches the Rfam family "Bacterial small subunit ribosomal RNA", at positions 524 to 776 of the family's 1533-position model. The record is from RNAcentral.
UACGAAGGAUGCAAGCGUUAUCCGGAUUCAUUGGGUUUAAAGGGUGCGUAGGCGGACUGAUAAGUCAGUGGUGAAAUCUCUUCGCUUAACGAAGAAACUGCCAUUGAUACUGUUAGUCUAGAGUACAGAUGAUGUUGGCGGAAUAUGACAUGUAGCGGUGAAAUGCAUAGAUAUGUCAUAGAACACCGAUUGCGAAGGCAGCUGACAAAACUGUAACUGACGCUGAUGCACGAAAGUGCGGGGAUCAAACAGG